Molecule: unclassified non-coding RNA, 421 nt
Filed under: soil metagenome
Description: partial contains 5.8S ribosomal RNA, internal transcribed spacer 2, and large subunit ribosomal RNA
Rfam family: 5.8S ribosomal RNA (bases 1-120)
Source: RNAcentral
GAUGAAGAACGCAGCGAAAUGCGAUACGUAAUGUGAAUUGCAGAAUUCAGUGAAUCAUCGAAUCUUUGAACGCAUAUUGCGCUCUUUGGUAUUCCGAAGAGCAUGCUUGUUUGAGUAUCAGUAAACACCUCAACCUCUUCUUGAUUUUUCAAAAGGAGGGUGGACUUGAGCUAUCCCAACAACCUUUACCGGUCGGCGGGCGGCUUGAAAUGCAGGUGCAGCUGGACUUUUAUCUGAGCUAAAAGCAUAUCUAUUUAGUCCUCGUCAAACAGGAUUAUUACUUUUGCUGCAGCUAACAUAAAGGAUAAUUGUCCUCUUUGCUGACUGAUGCAGGAUUUUACGACACUUUAUGUGUUGUUCAACUCGAUCUCAAAUCAAGUAAGACUACCCGCUGAACUUAAGCAUAUCAAUAAGCGGAGGG